Dermochelys coriacea (leatherback sea turtle) is the source of this 4535-nucleotide long non-coding RNA. RefSeq lists it as uncharacterized. The transcript has 3 exons. The record is from RefSeq and is a predicted model, not a curated record. NCBI's taxonomy places the organism in Eukaryota, Metazoa, Chordata, Testudines, Dermochelyidae.
UUUUGUAGCUCUUGGAUCGGAUGCGGAUACGAAUUUUGUAUCCACGCAGGGCUGUAGUCACAACCUUGACCAGGAGGUGGCUCUGUUGUGUGGGAGGGUGUGAAAAGGAAUUCACCUUGUUCAUUUCAGUCUUGGUCUUCUCCCUACACCACUCCACCAACCCCAGCCUAGAAGGCAGGGCCCUCGUAUGGGGUGAGAGGGAAGUUUAGCUUUGACUUUCCCAGCUAGACUCCAUUGCUAGGGAGAGAGGAGAAACCUUUCCUCUUGCUUUCCCACACUGUACCCAAAGAAGCUCCAUUUUAAUGCAGCUCAGAUUCUCUCUCAAGCUGGGUUUGCAUCAGUGACUGACAAUGGAACUAAAUGCCUUUCUUCCUUCCUUAAGGGUGAUCAUCUCCCCUCCCCAAGCUGUUACUUCUGGUGACUGGUAGAGCUGUUGGCACUAAGGAUGCCUGCAGAGAUGAACAGAUGGUGCCUCUCACUUGUCUUUGAUCUUCAUUUUAGCACCUUCCUUGGAAUGAGAUUUGAUGUAGAAAAGGUAGAGAGGAGGUGGCCGUGGCCACAGCAGCUUGGUUUCAUCUAUUAAAUGAUCAGGAGGGCAGGAGUGCUUGGUCCUGCAAAGGCUCUGACCUCUGGAACAAACUGCUAAGCCAAGCCCAAUUAGUACAUGGAGCAGCAUGAAUUGGUUUCCUGGAAUUGUUGCUUGAUGCUCAUUUAGCCCAGAUUAUAUCUGCUGGGACACGUGUCUGGAGUUUCUCUUAGGUUCUGUCCACACUGGGUUCACAGCUGUGCCAGCCAAUUAUAUUAUAGGUUGUUACAAACAAACAAACAAAAGCUCCUUGUCCGUACCAGUGAGGUAAACUGUUAUGCAACUGUGCUUAAAGCUAGUCUGGUUCUGCUCCAGGCGCGGUUGGUGUGGAAGGACUCCUCUACAGCUGAAAGCAUUAUACGUGAAAUACACACCUGAAAGAGUUUUUCUGCACCAGUGCGGCUCCACCAGCAUGCAGCAGAGACAGGAUACAGGUCCUUUUUACCAGAGUGUCUGACCCUAUCCGGCUGAGCGUGCUGUGUGCUAAGGAUUCGCUCUAACUUGGAUAUUUAUAUGGCCUCAGAUAUCUCAGUAUCUGAAUGCCUCCUGAUUCUUAAUGUAUCUGUGCACAUCACACUCCCGUGAGGUAGGGGAGUGCUGUUUACCCCUGUUUUACCGAUGUGCAACUGAGACACUGAGUGGAUGAGUGACUUGACCAAAGUCAAAUGUGGAGCAGGGACUUGACCCCCACAUCUGUCAAGUCCUAGGCUGGUGCCCUACCCGCUCACCCCUCCUUUCCCUCUCUACGCUUUUGACCAUUAUAUUCCAGAUGAAUUAAGGCUAUCAAAUUUUACUAGACUCAGUGCCAGAAUCUGUCUCGUUAGUUUCCUUGGUCCUGACUGGUGUCCUGUAUGACAUUUCUCUGCUGCUGGAAUCUUUCUUCUGCUCUCGUCCUUUCCCUGCAUGCCGGCCAGGUCACUGACAAUAGCAGCUUUGCUUUGCCCCUGCCCGCUAUUCUCGUCUGGAAUGCCAGGCCCGUUGAUUGGAUAUCUUCUGGGUGGUGAGGGAACGGGGCUGGGGUGGCCAGAGGAAAGCCAGCCAGAGAGCCUCUGUUAGGCAGGAGGGAGAACUGAGAGGAGCAGAGGGGGAGCUGUAACUGGUUGCUUAUCAGGGUGACUCUGGAAAAGAUUAGCCAGCAAGAGAUAAGCUUACAAUGACUUAAUAUUGUUAGUAAGAAGUAACAGGGCAUUAUUAUUAGCUCCUGGGGUAGUUGUGGUGGGGGAGGUGUAAUGUAAUUAGAAUUAAAGAACUACCGAGAGGUGGUAAAACAGGGCAAAAGAAUCUUCUGUGUGAAAUUAUGAAAGUGCACCAGAUACGAGAGAGCCAGCUCAGGAGCUACUUGCCUGCAGAAAUCUCCAAGGGAAGGUCCCUGAAGCUGCCCCCUGCAAACGCUCCACAGGAGGAGAAAAUCUAGAGUUUUAUUCGACAUGCCUGCUUUGAUCUGCCCCCAGCAUGCUAUAUCUGGCUCCUGGGCAAAGUGUCUUUUCCUCUCUGGAGAGGAUGGCAGGGCUAGCCUAACGUCUGAAGUGGAAUUAUAUUUAGACAAAGAAAGGAAAGAGCAGCGAUAAAGCAGCCCCUGUUAUCCCUCCUGCCGCCGUUCUGAGUUUGCUGUGUGCAGGAUCCCAGUCUUCAGCCAAAGGGUUUGAUGCUGAGCUUUGAGGCAGGGGAAAUCAUUUGUGAAGAAGUCGCUGGCUGGCCAGUGUGGAUGAAAAAGCCCUUUAUUGUUCUCUCACAUCAUAGUUUGCGAGACUGGUGCAAUUAACCAAGAACUGAAAAACAAGUUGGAAAAACAAACCAACAGCCUGCGUGCCAGGUUAGUGCAGACUCUGGGCCUUGCUGCAUUCAGGGUGCUGCUCUCGGGUGUGGUGGGACAGUAAGUUGGACCUGUUGGGCUUUCAGAUGCAAAGCAGAUAUACUGGAAAGUCAUCUCCCAGGUACCUGGAGUCAGUGUGACCUGCACUGUGAGCUACCCUCUCUGCUUUCCUGUUAUGCCCUGGAGCUAUGCGGUUCUGUGGAAUGCCUCUUGCAUGUUUCCAGGAGCCUUGGAGUGGAGAGUAACUUUCUUUUUCCUUGCUGUUUGGAAGAACUGACAAGUCAGCCUGACAAGUCAGGGAGCUUUGUUUGCAGCAUGUGGGCACUGAAUUUUUAUAUUGAUUAAAGCCCCCUUCUGCAAGGGGCUCUAGUCUGCGUCUGCCUGGGUCAGAGAAGACACUGGGGACCGGUGACUGCUUCACACAGGAUGUUGCCUGAUGUGGACUAGCCUAAUGCAUGGCUCAGCAGGAUAUUAGGCAAUGUCUGUGCUGAUUCUGAAUGAUCAGUGGCAAGUUUAACUGCCCCAGCGGUGGCUGUUUGGGGUUUUGCAGGCACAGGUCUGUUGUGCCCAGUGGCUGUGUAAAGUUGUUCUACAAGGCAGUCCCCUUUGCUUUUGGGUCUUGGUGCUUCCCCUGCCAUUCCAAGCUGGGAGCAGCUGGAAGAGUGACAGCGUCUGGGCUCUCCUGUUGAUGAGGGAAGAACUCCUCUCCAAGGGGUGAGGAGAACCCUGAAAGAGGUCCUGAAAGGGAACUGUGUCUUAAAGCAGGCGGUAGGAAAUGGUGGGAGGAGCCCCAGUGGAGACCUGAAGAGACAUUUGCUUGGGACAGACCCAGCCAGCACACACAAGACUGACUUGAAGAUACUUUUCCUGUUUCGGUUGUGGAGGAUGCCAGUGCAAAAGCCCCGGGGCGUACUGAGGACCUAGCUCUGCUGGCGCUGAGAGCAGGCGGUGGAGAUGUGGCACAUCUACAGAGGGGAGAGGGAGCUGAACGCACACCUGGUGUGCCGGAUGUGCUGCAUUGGUUAGUAUCUUGAGUCUACUUCUUUAGCGCCUGGAGGGCUGGAGAGAAUCUGAAAUGCAUUGCUCUCCUCUGACUCACGGGGAGGAAUCUGCUACAACACAGGUGUCUUCUCAUGCUUUAACCAGCCUGGGUUAUCCUCAAGAUCUUGAUAGCCUGUAGACUAGGGCAGGCAAGAAGAGACGUGGGGCUGAGGGCUGGGCUUUGGGAGAAGCGUGGCAUUUCAAGCAGGGGGGAGAGUACGAUGACUCAGUUUUAUAUCGCAGUAGUUGGACUCCGGUGCCUGUUAGCUGUCCUCUUCUGGGUCCAUAUGCUUCGCUACACUGCUUGCUGCUUUACCAGGAAGCCAUGCUUAAGCAAUAAUCUCACUUAGCAAGGGCAGGGCUGUAUUUUUAACAGACCGUUGGCUGUUUUCAACGCCUGAUUUCCUGGCUGUGCUACAAGGGGGAGGAAUAGUUCAGAGGGGUAAAAAACCUGGAGGACUCCGUCUCGGACCCGGCUACAGUGACAUUGCAGUGCCGUUGAAUUUUCUCACAGCAAUCCCCAGAAAAAAUAGGUCAUAAAUAAGGCAGUAGGUAUUCCAGAGGAGAUGGAGUGAUACUGACCAGGUUUAAAAGGGAUGGGGAUGUCCUGGGAGUAUAUACAUAAGUCUCUGGCACAAGAGCGGACUGUGCAGCUGGUUGGAGUGUGGGAAGGGAAAGGAGAUUAAAAGAUGAAGAUGGUGCUUACAGACCUUCCUAGAUCCAUCCUUUUUUUUGGAGGGGUGGGAUGGGAUGAGGUUUCUCAGGCUUGGGGGGCUACCUCCAAAAUCUCAGGGCCUUGGCUCUGUGGCUGUGUCAGGUGCUGUGACCACGGAAGAGACUAAAUAGUAUAGAGUGCUAAGAGUACUGUCCAGACAAGAUGCAAAUCAGGCCGUUCACAAAUUGUCUGCUAUCGUCUGGAGGAAUUUAAAGGGAGGUAGAUGGAUGCUUGCUUGCUUGCUUUUUCUUUCCGUCUUUAAGAAAGAGUUUGCCCCUCUUCUUAAUCUGGUGUUUGGUCUCUUCCUUGCGUUGAGAACUGGCUUCCUGUGUAUCAGUCAGAUCUCUCCCCAGAGAGCUACAGAAACUGACUGCCCCUCC